Molecule: long non-coding RNA, 494 nt
Organism: Hyla sarda
Lineage: Eukaryota; Metazoa; Chordata; Amphibia; Anura; Hylidae
Exons: 3
Source: RefSeq, a predicted model, not a curated record
UAGGAAAUGAACAGUCAAUGUGUCAUACGUUUUACAUGACACUAUACAGAAUGAAUAGAAUGUUAAAGGACAAACACGCCAUGCUACAGUCAUACUACAGAGGCCAUCUUAAAUAAACACGCUGGUGCAGAAGGUAUAAAGAAGAUACACUGGAAAGAAGACAUUCCAAUAAUAGGAACUGUUAACUCAUUUGUAGUCAUCAUAUGAAGUUCGUUAAUCAAAUAAAACUGCCGGCUGUAGCCUCUGAGCCCCUCGUGUGUCUCUGUUGCCUCCCUGCUUAUGGGUCCGGUCACUAAAGGAUUUUACUAAAGGAGUAUGCGCAGUCAGCCUAUUGGUAUCACAGCUGGGGGCAGGAAUGAUAAACUUUGUGAUCGCUGUUAUAUUUUUAUGCUGUAAAAUCAACAAGAAUGAAAUAAAGGAUUAAUAUGCUGGCAUGAAAAAGAAAGCUGGGUGGAAAUGAUAGCAAUAGCCCAGUGUGAAGCCUUUCCUGUGAA